AACCCAUGGUGAAGGCACCUUCUCAAUAAAUCCUUGUAUCUCUCCCAUGCAUCAUAAAGUGUUUCUAAAUCCAUCUGCACAAAAGAAGAGAUAUCAUUCCUCAAUUU
Molecule: non-coding RNA, 107 nt
Organism: Gossypium arboreum
Lineage: Eukaryota; Viridiplantae; Streptophyta; Magnoliopsida; Malvales; Malvaceae
Source: Rfam